ACUAUGUAUGGCCGAGUGGUUAAGGCGUUGGACUUAAGAUCCAAUGGAUGUAUAUCCGCGUGGGUUCAAACCCCACUCCUGGUA
This 84-nucleotide transfer RNA is filed under the name Xenopus tropicalis (tropical clawed frog). Its description in RNAcentral is "tRNA-Leu (TAA) (tRNA-Leu-TAA-29-1)". The stretch from base 8 to 77 matches the Rfam family "tRNA", at positions 7 to 64 of the family's 71-position model. From Rfam's summary of the family: Transfer RNA (tRNA) molecules are approximately 80 nucleotides in length. Their secondary structure includes four short double-helical elements and three loops (D, anti-codon, and T loops). The record is from RNAcentral. Lineage: Eukaryota; Metazoa; Chordata; Amphibia; Anura; Pipidae.